CUGGGCGAUCCCUCCAGUCUCAGCACUGGCACCGGCCUUGAGAGGACAAUCCUGCUCUUGUUCCCUCUCUGUCUGUCUGUAAUCACCUGAGACCUUAAUCUCCACGAUGUCCUUUUUGGGGGGAGGAAAUGUACUUGGUCCCCACACUCUGCAAGCCGAUUAUGAAGCUAGCAGCCUGAGGCGCUGACUGGCUCCGAGUGGCCUUGCUGGAAGAUUCUCAUUGCAACAGACAAGGGUCGCACUUGCUUUGUUAUGGCAAGAGCUGGCCACCCACCCCCUCCCCUUCCUUCCCAAAGGCUGUGUUUUGUCUGUAGGCCCUCUGCUGUGACAUGC
Molecule: long non-coding RNA, 333 nt
Filed under: Androctonus crassicauda
Lineage: Eukaryota; Metazoa; Arthropoda; Arachnida; Scorpiones; Buthidae
Source: RNAcentral